Non-coding RNA from Chrysemys picta bellii (western painted turtle), 866 nucleotides. NCBI's taxonomy places the organism in Eukaryota, Metazoa, Chordata, Testudines, Emydidae. The record is from RefSeq and is a predicted model, not a curated record.
AGAAUGACAGCAUCUUAAGGAAGAUGAUUCAUAGCCUUCAAAGAAGAUAUGCCAACCAUUCAAGGGGAUUUGAGGGUAAUAUAUCCUUACCUGGGUCAGGUUAGAUUGAUGGGCCUGAUUUAUGCAUUUGAUAUUGUUUAUCUAUUGGCCAUCUUCCUCCUGGACAGAGCUCUGAGUAAAAAAAUAAUAGUAAAACACUAGCUACCUUAUCACAUGAGACUAUUCUUCAAAGGUUUAGAGAUUUCUCACUCUCUAUUUGUUCCCUUAUUUUCAGGAGGGAAACUGCCAGGAUCAUUUUGUUUGUUUAUUUUCAAUGAAGAUUGGUGUGACUUGCUUUUCUCCUGUUUUCUGGUGUUGAAGUUAUCAUGGGUCCCCUAAUGAGCAGACACUGGAGGAAGAGACAAAUGCAGGGCCGGCUCCAGCUUUUUUGCCGCCCCAAGCGGCGAAGAAAAAAAGAAAAACCCGAUUGAGCUGCUGCCGAAGUGCCGCCAAAGACGAAAAGAGGGAGUGAAGGGCCUGCCGCCGAAUUGCCGCCGCAGACCCGGACGUGCCGCCCCAAUAAUGGACGGACUGCCGCCCCUUUCUAUUGGCCACCCCAGGCACCUGCUUCCUUCGUUGGUGCCUGGAGCCGGCCCUGGACAAAUGAUAAAUAUAUUUGAGAAACAUAAGCUACCUAAUAUAGCUUUUCCAUAUGUAAGUGUGACAGCUUUACAGUCCAAUAUCUCAGGAUCCUCUCAAGCCAGAGGCAAGUGCUGAGUCCAGCACUGAAAAGCGGAGACUUUCCCAUUUAUAGUGACUCAUAAGGACCAGGGUCACAACCACGGUGGAUAAAAAUCAAUGAUUUAAAAUAAAGAAACAAAAACAAA